Molecule: long non-coding RNA, 507 nt
Filed under: Elaeis guineensis (African oil palm)
Lineage: Eukaryota; Viridiplantae; Streptophyta; Magnoliopsida; Arecales; Arecaceae
Description: long non-coding RNA (EGUI_LNC003863)
Source: RNAcentral
CUGGGUGUAGUCAAGUACUUGACUUGUCGGUGCGUGUGUCAAGAUGGGAUUGACCACUCCAGUUUAGGAGCUGUGUAUAGUCGUGUUUCAAUUUAGCAAAAUCUUGGCCAGGGUAGUCCUAGUGAGGAGUCACAGGACUGAUUGAGUUGAGCACGAUUCGGAUGAUCUCAUCAGGGUUGACAGUUUAACCCUGAGUCAUCUUAAACACAGAGGUCAAAAGGGAUGAAUUAUACGGUAACCAUAUUCACGUAGGUUCUGAAUGUUGUGAUUGCGACUAUUCGACUUAUCCGAUCAUCGGGUACCAUUGCUAGAUGGUCACUUCGAUUAGUACAGGAAUUGGUUCCUGUACUACCGACUUAGGUUCGAACCUGCGGGAUCACACACAUUAGAGGUUUCUUUCUGAUCUGAUGGCUGAUUAUGAGUCUUAUGUGUCUGGGACUCUAUGAUUGAGAAUUAGAAUUCUCUGAUCAUGAGUUCCACAUAUUUUGGGUACCGGGGUCAAAAUUU